Molecule: ribosomal RNA, 301 nt
Filed under: uncultured bacterium
Lineage: Bacteria
Description: partial 16S ribosomal RNA
Rfam family: Bacterial small subunit ribosomal RNA
Source: RNAcentral
CAGUAGCCGCGGUAAUACGUAGGUGGCAAGCGUUGUCCGGAAUUAUUGGGCGUAAAGGGCUCGCAGGCGGUUUCUUAAGUCUGAUGUGAAAGCCCCCGGCUCAACCGGGGAGGGUCAUUGGAAACUGGGAAACUUGAGUGCAGAAGAGGAGAGUGGAAUUCCACGUGUAGCGGUGAAAUGCGUAGAGAUGUGGAGGAACACCAGUGGCGAAGGCGACUCUCUGGUCUGUAACUGACGCUGAUGAGCGAAAGCGUGGGGAGCGAACAGGAUUAGAGACCCGCGUAGUCCCUGUCUCUUAUAC